UGCAGUAGAACGCUGAAGAGAGGAGCUUGCUCCUUCUUGGAUGAGUUGCGAACGGGUGAGUAACGCGUAGGUAACCUGCCUUGUAGCGGGGGAUAACUAUUGGAAACGAUAGCUAAUACCGCAUAACAAUGGAUGACUCAUGUCAUUUAUUUGAAAGGGGCAAUUGCUCCACUACAAGAUGGACCUGCGUUGUAUUAGCUAGUAGGUGAGGUAACGGCUCACCUAGGCGACGAUACAUAGCCGACCUGAGAGGGUGAUCGGCCACACUGGGACUGAGACACGGCCCAGACUCCUACGGGAGGCAGCAGUAGGGAAUCUUCGGCAAUGGGGGCAACCCUGACCGAGCAACGCCGCGUGAGUGAAGAAGGUUUUCGGAUCGUAAAGCUCUGUUGUAAGUCAAGAACGAGUGUGAGAGUGGAAAGUUCACACUGUGACGGUAGCUUACCAGAAAGGGACGGCUAACUACGUGCCAGCAGCCGCGGUAAUACGUAGGUCCCGAGCGUUGUCCGGAUUUAUUGGGCGUAAAGCGAGCGCAGGCGGUUUGAUAAGUCUGAAGUUAAAGGCUGUGGCUCAACCAUAGUUCGCUUUGGAAACUGUCAAACUUGAGUGCAGAAGGGGAGAGUGGAAUUCCAUGUGUAGCGGUGAAAUGCGUAGAUAUAUGGAGGAACACCGGUGGCGAAAGCGGCUCUCUGGUCUGUAACUGACGCUGAGGCUCGAAAGCGUGGGGAGCGAACAGGAUUAGAUACCCUGGUAGUCCACGCCGUAAACGAUGAGUGCUAGGUGUUGGAUCCUUUCCGGGAUUCAGUGCCGCAGCUAACGCAUUAAGCACUCCGCCUGGGGAGUACGACCGCAAGGUUGAAACUCAAAGGAAUUGACGGGGGCCCGCACAAGCGGUGGAGCAUGUGGUUUAAUUCGAAGCAACGCGAAGAACCUUACCAGGUCUUGACAUCCCGAUGCUAUUUCUAGAGAUAGAAAGUUACUUCGGUACAUCGGUGACAGGUGGUGCAUGGUUGUCGUCAGCUCGUGUCGUGAGAUGUUGGGUU
Molecule: ribosomal RNA, 1043 nt
Filed under: Streptococcus salivarius
Lineage: Bacteria; Bacillati; Bacillota; Bacilli; Lactobacillales; Streptococcaceae
Description: bacterial SSU rRNA
Rfam family: Bacterial small subunit ribosomal RNA
Source: RNAcentral